Molecule: ribosomal RNA, 465 nt
Filed under: uncultured bacterium
Lineage: Bacteria
Description: partial 16S ribosomal RNA
Rfam family: Bacterial small subunit ribosomal RNA
Source: RNAcentral
CCUACGGGAGGCUGCAGUAGGGAAUCUUCCACAAUGGGCGAACGCCUGAUGCAGCAACGCCGCGUGGGUGAAGAAGGUCUUCGGAUCGUAAAACCCUGUUGUUAGAGAAGAAAGUGCGUGAGAGUAACUGUUCACGUUUCGACGGUAUCUAACCAGAAAGCCACGGCUAACUACGUGCCAGCAGCCGCGGUAAUACGUAGGUGGCAAGCGUUAUCCGGAUUUAUUGGGCGUAAAGGGAACGCAGGCGGUCUUUUAAGUCUGAUGUGAAAGCCUUCGGCUUAACCGGAGUAGUGCAUUGGAAACUGGGAGACUUGAGUGCAGAAGAGGAGAGUGGAACUCCAUGUGUAGCGGUGAAAUGCGUAGAUAUAUGGAAGAACACCAGGGGCGAAAGCGGCUCUCUGGUCUGUAACUGACGCUGAGGUUCGAAAGCGUGGGUAGCAAACAGGAUUAGAUACCCCUGUAGUC